Transfer RNA from Ovis aries (sheep), 72 nucleotides. It matches the Rfam family "tRNA". From Rfam's summary of the family: Transfer RNA (tRNA) molecules are approximately 80 nucleotides in length. Lineage: Eukaryota; Metazoa; Chordata; Mammalia; Artiodactyla; Bovidae. The record is from Rfam.
UCCCUGGUGAUCCAGUAGCUAGGACUCAGCACUUUUACUGCAAUGACCCAGGUUCAGUUCCUGGUCAGGGAA